RNAcentral lists this long non-coding RNA (305 nucleotides) under Ananas comosus (pineapple). RNAcentral's name for it is "long non-coding RNA (ACOM_LNC030392)". Lineage: Eukaryota; Viridiplantae; Streptophyta; Magnoliopsida; Poales; Bromeliaceae. The record is from RNAcentral.
UAAAUUUCCAGACUUAGCCAAAUUUCAGCCUUUUUCAUUUUCGCUCCGUUUUCGCUCGUUUUCGCUCGUUUGACCUCCGAUUCUUUUCAAAUCUAACCGAGACUCUCCAAACAUGUUUUCGAGCAUGUUCUCAUCAUCUUUUCAUCCGCGCUAAUGCCGGAUUUAGUUCACGGUCCAACAUAGCCUUUCGGGUCCCGUUUUCGCGCCUACGCGCUCCGAAAACGCCCGAAUGCUUCCGAACUUCACCGGAAUCAUUCUAAUGGCUUUCCAAACCAACAUACCCCGUAACUUCAUAAUUUUAGAAG